AACGAACGCUGGCGGCAUGCCUAAUACAUGCAAGUCGAACGAGAUCUUCGGAUCUAGUGGCGCACGGGUGCGUAACGCGUGGGAAUCUGCCCUUGGGUUCGGAAUAACAGUUAGAAAUGACUGCUAAUACCGGAUGAUGACGUAAGUCCAAAGAUUUAUCGCCCAGGGAUGAGCCCGCGUAGGAUUAGCUAGUUGGUGAGGUAAAGGCUCACCAAGGCUACGAUCCUUAGCUGGUCUGAGAGGAUGAUCAGCCACACUGGGACUGAGACACGGCCCAGACUCCUACGGGAGGCAGCAGUAGGGAAUAUUGGACAAUGGGCGAAAGCCUGAUCCAGCAAUGCCGCGUGAGCGAUGAAGGCCUUAGGGUUGUAAAGCUCUUUUACCCGGGAUGAUAAUGACAGUACCGGGAGAAUAAGCCCCGGCUAACUCCGUGCCAGCCGCCGCCGUAA
RNAcentral lists this ribosomal RNA (449 nucleotides) under uncultured bacterium. RNAcentral describes it as "partial 16S ribosomal RNA". It matches the Rfam family "Bacterial small subunit ribosomal RNA", at positions 29 to 523 of the family's 1533-position model. The record is from RNAcentral.